UUGAGAGUUUGAUCCUGGCGCAGGAUGAACGCUUGCGGCGUGCCUAAUACAUGCGAGUCGAGCGAAUGGAUUAAGAGCUUGACCUUAUUAAGGUAGCGGCGUACGGGUGACUAACACGUGGGUAACCUGCCC
RNAcentral lists this ribosomal RNA (132 nucleotides) under Bacillus tropicus. Its description in RNAcentral is "partial 16S ribosomal RNA". It matches the Rfam family "Bacterial small subunit ribosomal RNA", at positions 1 to 131 of the family's 1533-position model. The record is from RNAcentral. Lineage: Bacteria; Bacillati; Bacillota; Bacilli; Caryophanales; Bacillaceae.